GGAUAGCUCAGUUGGUCAGAGCAUGGUGCUGAUAAUGCCACAGUCACAGGUUCAAUUUGCACAUGGGACAGCUGCA
Podarcis lilfordi (Lilford's wall lizard) is the source of this 76-nucleotide non-coding RNA. The record is from the annotation of a GenBank genome assembly. NCBI's taxonomy places the organism in Eukaryota, Metazoa, Chordata, Lepidosauria, Squamata, Lacertidae.